This is a long non-coding RNA of Dreissena polymorpha, 1221 nucleotides long. RefSeq lists it as uncharacterized. The transcript is spliced from 4 exons. NCBI's taxonomy places the organism in Eukaryota, Metazoa, Mollusca, Bivalvia, Myida, Dreissenidae. The record is from RefSeq and is a predicted model, not a curated record.
GCCGUUUUAUCAACAGAUAUUAUCUUAGCGGAUCUUAUCUUAAAUCCUUGACUUACGAUUUCAUUUACGAUCCGCUAAUACCCGUUUUAUGAACGCCGUCGUAAGUAUCGAGUCGCAGCUAUGAUUUUAAUUAAGCGUACGAUCUGGAAAAUCGCGAACCAGUCGAAAAACCCCACACGAUUUCCCGCGUUUAUGUCAAAAAAGCAAGAUGGCCGACAACGUAAACAGAGGCAAGUAGUUAAUGAUAGUUAUGAUUUACUAAUAGAAGUACUAAAUGUAGGAAUAUCAUGACUCAUGUCUUCAAAUAUUGUAGCGUGUAUGUCUGUCAAUAUUUCUCGUAAUUGAUACUGAGUUUUUAUUAAAUUCAUAUCGUUAUUUUACACCAAAGAAUCGAAAUGUUUUAUGCAUUUAUUUUAUGUAUUUAUUUUCAAAAUUCUAGUUGCAAGUACUGUUAUAACGAAAUCAUAUUUUCCGGCGUUUGGAUCUGUCAGCCUUUAAAAUGACAAAUCGUUAUUGUGUUUUUAUAUCUAAUGUUUUGGCAGAAGAGUAUUCGAGUAUCAAUCAAUACAUUAUUUCUAUGCCCCACAUUUGAAGAAAACUAUUUAUUUUUAUGUUUGUUUUUAGAGUAAAUGUAUCUCUCUUUUCAAGGAAAAUUCUAAUCUUACACAUUUCCGCUUGUUUCGCUAUAUAUUUGUUUUCGUACUUCUUCUACUUCGUACUUAUAAUGAGAAUGCUCCUCGAGUAGGGAGCGAACCCACGAACUCCCGAUCGCUAGGCGGACACCUCAUCCACUACACCACCGCGAUAGUGUAUACGGAUGCCUACUGUAUAUUUAUUUUUGGCAUAGAUUUUACUUUAUUACACAGUGUACAUAGCUUUAUAAUUAAUUUUCAAUUGUAAACACAAACCUGAAAACUAUCACUCAAUUUCAGAGUGAACAGCAUUUGAUUGUGUAGCCCCAAGAUAGACAAAGUUAUCAAGAAAUGGACGGACAUUAAGACGCACAAAAACAACCAUGUGUGAAUGAUGAGAUCUCAUCCAUCACAUCAGUUGAACAAAAGUUGGAAAUCCGCGAAACAGCGCAUGUGAGGUCCAGUCAUUUGAGCGGGUAAGAAAAAAAAGAUAUAGUGUUCCACUUCAUUGUUCCCUAGCUGUAGAGUUGUUGGAGAAAACCCUGUAUUGUUAUGUUACAAAGAUAAUUAAAUAAAGGAGUAGAAUUUA